RNAcentral lists this ribosomal RNA (468 nucleotides) under uncultured bacterium. RNAcentral's name for it is "partial 16S ribosomal RNA". It matches the Rfam family "Bacterial small subunit ribosomal RNA", at positions 28 to 507 of the family's 1533-position model. The record is from RNAcentral.
GACGAACGCUGGCGGCGUGCUUAACACAUGCAAGUCGAACGGAAAGGCCCUGCUUUUGUGGGGUGCUCGAGUGGCGAACGGGUGAGUAACACGUGAGUAACCUGCCCUUGUCUUUGGGAUAACUUCAGGAAACUGGGGCUAAUACCGGAUAGGAGCUCCUGCUGCAUGGUGGGGGUUGGAAAGUUUCGGCGGUUGGGGAUGGACUCGCGGCUUAUCAGCUUGUUGGUGGGGUAGUGGCUUACCAAGGCUUUGACGGGUAGCCGGCCUGAGAGGGUGACCGGCCACAUUGAGACUGAGAUACGGCCCAGACUCCUACGGGAGGCAGCAGUGGGGAAUAUUGCACAAUGGGCGGAAGCCUGAUGCAGCAACGCCGCGUGCGGGAUGACGGCCUUCGGGUUGUAAACCGCUUUCGCCUGUGACGAAGCGUGAGUGACGGUAAUGGGUAAAGAAGCACCGGCUAACUACGUG